GACGAACGCUGGCGGCGUGCUUAACACAUGCAAGUCGAACGGAAAGGCCCUGCUUUUGUGGGGUGCUCGAGUGGCGAACGGGUGAGUAACACGUGAGUAACCUGCCCUUGACUUUGGGAUAACUUCAGGAAACUGGGGCUAAUAUCGGAUAGGAGCUCCUGCUGCAUGGUGGGGGUUGGAAAGUUUCGGCGGUUGGGGAUGGACUCGCGGCUUAUCAGCUUGCUGGUGGGGUAGUGGCUUACCAAGGCUUUGACGGGUAGCCGGCCUGAGAGGGUGACCGGCCACAUUGGGACUGAGAUACGGCCCAGACUCCUACGGGAGGCAGCAGUGGGGAAUAUUGCACAAUGGGCGGAAGCCUGAUGCAGCAACGCCGCGUGCGGGAUGACGGCCUUCGGGUUGUAAACCGCUUUCGCCUGUGACGAAGCGUGAGUGACGGUAAUGGGUAAAGAAGCACCGGCUAACUACGUG
Molecule: ribosomal RNA, 468 nt
Filed under: uncultured bacterium
Lineage: Bacteria
Description: partial 16S ribosomal RNA
Rfam family: Bacterial small subunit ribosomal RNA
Source: RNAcentral